GACGAACGCUGGCGGCGUGCUUAACACAUGCAAGUCGAACGAUGAAGCUAGAGCUUGCUCUGGUGAAUUAGUGGCGAACGGGUGAGUAACACGUGAGUAACCUGCCCCGAACUCUGGGAUAACUGCUGGAAACGGUAGCUAAUACUGGAUACGACCUACGAAGGCAUCUUCUGUAGGUGGAAAGAAUUUCGGUUCGGGAUGAACUCGCGGCCUAUCAGGUUGUUGGUGAGGUAAUGGCUCACCAAGGCGACGACGGGUAGCCGGCCUGAGAGGGUGACCGGCCACACUGGGACUGAGACACGGCCCAGACUCCUACGGGAGGCAGCAGUGGGGAAUAUUGCACAAUGGGCGCAAGCCUGAUGCAGCAACGCCGCGUGAGGGAUGACGGCCUUCGGGUUGUAAACCUCUUUUAGUAGGGAAGAAGCGAAAGUGACGGUACCUGCAGAAAAAGCACCGGCUAACUACGUGCCAGCCGCCGCAGUAA
This 484-nucleotide ribosomal RNA is filed under the name uncultured bacterium. RNAcentral's name for it is "partial 16S ribosomal RNA". It matches the Rfam family "Bacterial small subunit ribosomal RNA", at positions 28 to 523 of the family's 1533-position model. The record is from RNAcentral.